RNAcentral lists this ribosomal RNA (433 nucleotides) under uncultured Ruminococcus sp. RNAcentral's name for it is "partial 16S ribosomal RNA". It matches the Rfam family "Bacterial small subunit ribosomal RNA", at positions 341 to 792 of the family's 1533-position model. Lineage: Bacteria; Bacillati; Bacillota; Clostridia; Eubacteriales; Oscillospiraceae. The record is from RNAcentral.
ACGGAAGGCAGCAGUGGGGAAUAUUGCACAAUGGGGGAAACCCUGAUGCAGCAACGCCGCGUGAAGGAUGACGUAUUUCGGUAUGUAAACUUCUAUCAACAGGGACGAAAAUGACGGUACCUGUGAAGGAAGCUCCGGCUAACUACGUGCCAGCAGCCGCGGUAAUACGUAGGGAGCAAGCGUUAUCCGGAAUUACUGGGUGUAAAGGGAGUGUAGGCGGGACUGUAAGUCAGAUGUGAAAUAUGCCGGCUCAACUGGCAGACUGCAUUUGAAACUGCGGUUCUUGAGUGAAGUAGAGGUAAGCGGAAUUCCUAGUGUAGCGGUGAAAUGCGUAGAUAUUAGGAGGAACAUCAGUGGCGAAGGCGGCUUACUGGGCUUUAACUGACGCUGAGGCUCGAAGCGUGGGGAGCAAACAGGAUUAGAUACCCUGGUA